Long non-coding RNA from Betta splendens (Siamese fighting fish), 1056 nucleotides. RefSeq lists it as uncharacterized. Lineage: Eukaryota; Metazoa; Chordata; Actinopteri; Anabantiformes; Osphronemidae. The record is from RefSeq and is a predicted model, not a curated record. The transcript is spliced from 3 exons.
ACUGACGUCACCCCACAGCCUGUCGUGAUUAGCCUGGAGUCUGUGAGUGUAGUUCCGUUUGCGGACCUGUAGAUGGCGUCAAACUCCACCUGCUGAAAGUCCCGCCAGACGCCCAGAACUUCAAGUGCAGCUCGUGUGGUUCGGUUUUGUAAAGCAAACCCCUCUUUACUUUUAGUCGGUUAUUGAAGUGUGCGUGACGUCAGAUACUCAUAUGCUAGUAAAAAUGACACGGUUCAGCCGCCAUGUUAAUGGCGCGCAGGGGCCUGAAGGAGUGCAGCACGCGGACGUUCACCUCCAGCGUCUCUGCGAUGUUUGUGUCAACUGUACUUAAGGGGACAGAUGCACUCAAACAGUGGUCAGGCCGUCAGCGCUUCAACACAUUUAUCGCUGAAGUGAAGCUACGCUGCCCUGCUUCCCACGCGCUAUUCUGCAAUGGAGGCAAGUUUCCCUCGCGCCCAUCUUGGAAUCGGUUAUUAAUUGUGCUUUCACGUCGCUUCAUGAUGCUAAUAAAACAACAAUGCUCUUCCAAAUCAUCUGAAAAAUGAGCCCAAGGACAAUGGGCACUGCCGAGGAAAGGCGUGGUUGUCCACUUUGAGAAACGAUGGGACUCACAACCAAGAUUAAUGGAACUCAGGUGGCUUUUAAUUAGUGCAGCUGUGCUCAUUAAUUAUCUGCGCACAACACAAAUAUUUUUAUAUUUGGGGAAAGUCUUGAUUUAUUUGAUUUUGUUUGCCCGUGGAUCUAGAUGGAUGACUCUUCAUGUUACGUUUUGCCAGCACUAAAAGGAGAUGAAAUACUUCUUUCCCAGUUAGCUUGUCUGCUGCAAACAUGCUGUUAUUGAUGAAGCUGUGUAACGUGACACUAAUCAUGGACAUAAAGAGCAAUCGUAUGAGAUGGUCAUAGCGUUUUAAUUUUCUUUCAUCAAAGCACCACAUGAGCUUAGCAGCAAACAUGUUGUGUGUCUCUUAAAGCAGCAAAGAAGACUUUCUAUUGAUUUGUAGUCCUGCUUUGCUUUUUGCUGUAACAGCAGUAGCUGAUGGUCUUAAAUCAUUAAUA